AUGCCGUCGAAGCGCCCCAUCGGAGGGAGUGGCGACGCCGGGACUGCUGAAGCACCGGAGCACGGCGUGAAUAUGGAGACAGAGGUUCACGAUUCAACUCGGAAGGGAGAUCAGUCAGCAGAACAGCUAAAGCUCUCUAGUGUUGUUACUUCUCAGUCUACAAUAGUUUUUUCAGGUACACAAAUAUACUCAGAUGCAGCUUGGUCGUUGGAGCCAGGACAAGCUGUAGCAAAGGCGGGCAUAGGUGUUUUCUUACAAAUUAACCGGCAACAUACCGACCAUGUAUACAUCUCUGCUGUGUCGCCACCAGUAGCAUUAGCUCUGCAGGCAGAAGCUUAUGGACUGCUGUUGGCGGUGAAGAUUGCAGCUCAACUACAUGUGCAGAAUCUGAAGUUUUUGACAGACUCUGCCGUGCUUGCCUCAGCUGUUGUAGAGCCUGAUGUUACUAAAGCAGGUCGGUGGGCUAUCCGGCCAAGCUUAGCUGCUAUCCAGACCACGCCUUCAUUUCAUCCAUGCAGAAUACUCAAAAGUGCACAGGAGUCUGAAUUUCAAGGCACACCAUCAGGCUAG
Molecule: ribosomal RNA, 570 nt
Filed under: Triticum aestivum (bread wheat)
Lineage: Eukaryota; Viridiplantae; Streptophyta; Magnoliopsida; Poales; Poaceae
Description: partial small subunit ribosomal RNA
Source: RNAcentral